Molecule: ribosomal RNA, 545 nt
Filed under: uncultured Oscillospiraceae bacterium
Lineage: Bacteria; Bacillati; Bacillota; Clostridia; Eubacteriales; Oscillospiraceae
Description: bacterial SSU rRNA
Rfam family: Bacterial small subunit ribosomal RNA
Source: RNAcentral
GAGCUUGCUUUCUCAAGCGAGUGGCGAACGGGAGAGUAACGCGUGAGGAACCUGCCUCAAAGAGGGGGACAACAGUUGGAAACGACUGCUAAUACCGCAUAAGCCCGCGACCCGGCAUCGGGUAGAGGGAAAAGGAGCAAUCCGCUUUGAGAUGGCCUCGCGCCCGAUUAGCUAGUUGGUGAGGUAAUGGCCCACCAAGGCGACGAUCGGUAGCCGGACUGAGAGGUUGAACGGCCACAUUGGGACUGAGACACGGCCCAGACUCCUACGGGAGGCAGCAGUGGGGAAUAUUGCACAAUGGGGGAAACCCUGAUGCAGCGACGCCGCGUGGAGGAAGAAGGUCUUCGGAUUGUAAACUCCUGUUGUUGAGGAAGAUAAUGACGGUACUCAACAAGGAAGUGACGGCUAACUACGUGCCAGCAGCCGCGGUAAAACGUAGGUCACAAGCGUUGUCCGGAAUUACUGGGUGUAAAGGGAGCGCACGCGGGAAGACAAGUUGGAAGUGAAAUCCAUGGGCUCAACCCAUGAACUGCUUUCAAAACUGU